This 254-nucleotide long non-coding RNA is filed under the name Manihot esculenta (cassava). RNAcentral describes it as "long non-coding RNA (MESC_LNC002541)". Lineage: Eukaryota; Viridiplantae; Streptophyta; Magnoliopsida; Malpighiales; Euphorbiaceae. The record is from RNAcentral.
UCAUAAACAUACAACAAUAAAGAAACAUACAUAAACUGAUCAUGUGACUCCAAGGGAUUACAAGUCUUAUAAAUCAAGCACCAUUCUAUACACUAUACAUAUACAUUAUCUCUAUACAUUUACAUGUCCACACUAGCUAUUACACCACUCUGUACUCUUCCUGUACCCUGCUGAGUUCUCUCUGACCUCUGAACCUGCACAACUGAAGUUAGGGGAGAGGGAUGAGCUACGAUAGCCCAGUGAGUAGAAUAGGC